AUGCUCACUUUGGCAACAUAGAUACUAAAAUUGGAACGAUACAGAGACAAGCAUGGCCCCUGAGCAAGGAUGACAUGCAAAUUCGUGAAGCAUUCCAUAUUUCU
This is a small nuclear RNA of Camelus dromedarius (Arabian camel), 104 nucleotides long. The record is from Ensembl. NCBI's taxonomy places the organism in Eukaryota, Metazoa, Chordata, Mammalia, Artiodactyla, Camelidae.